UGCUAAAAUUGAAGAAAAACUUAAUAAAAGAGUUUAACAUAAACAUCAAGAAGUUGAAAGAGAUUGGAAGAAGGAAAAAACUCAAUAAAUCUGGUCUGUAAACGUUUGAUGUAGCUUCCUCCUCUUGAUAGCCUAAAAAGAAGAGAAAGAAUCGAUCUCCCUUGCUUUCUAGCCUCCUUCGUCGAAAAGCCCCCUUUUUCUCCCCCCAUAAACUCCUUAUCCUUGCUUUCUUUCAAGCCAUCUUCACAAGGAAAGAAGAAAUCAAUCCCAAAUUUGCCUGUCAAUUCGGCAUAUUUUCAGCCUUGGAUUGUGGGCCAUUUUUCACUUGGAAAACGUGGGAAUUUCAAAAUCUCUAUUUCAGGGGAAAUUGUAGCACGUUAAAUUAGCUUUCCAAAGUCUCUUGAAUCAGCUUAAUAU
RNAcentral lists this long non-coding RNA (417 nucleotides) under Olea europaea (common olive). Its description in RNAcentral is "long non-coding RNA (OEUR_LNC001269)". The record is from RNAcentral. Lineage: Eukaryota; Viridiplantae; Streptophyta; Magnoliopsida; Lamiales; Oleaceae.